This 229-nucleotide ribosomal RNA is filed under the name uncultured bacterium. RNAcentral's name for it is "partial 16S ribosomal RNA". It matches the Rfam family "Bacterial small subunit ribosomal RNA", at positions 568 to 796 of the family's 1533-position model. The record is from RNAcentral.
UGCGUAGGCGGGUAAUUAAGUCAGAGGUGAAAUCCCACAGCUUAACUGUGGAACUGCCUUAGAUACUGGUUAUCUUGAGUUUUAGUGAAGUAGAUAGAAUGUGUAGUGUAGCGGUGAAAUGCAUAGAUAUUACACAGAAUACCGAUUGCGAAGGCAGUCUACUAACUAACAACUGACGCUAAUGGACGAAAGCGUGGGGAGCGAACAGGAUUAGAUACCCUGGUAGUCC